Molecule: transfer RNA, 72 nt
Filed under: Mesocricetus auratus (golden hamster)
Lineage: Eukaryota; Metazoa; Chordata; Mammalia; Rodentia; Cricetidae
Rfam family: tRNA
About the family: Transfer RNA (tRNA) molecules are approximately 80 nucleotides in length. Their secondary structure includes four short double-helical elements and three loops (D, anti-codon, and T loops).
Source: Rfam by way of RNAcentral
UGGAAUAUAGUUCAGCAGUAGAGGGCUUGCUUAGCAUGCGUGAAGUCCUGAGUUCAAAUCUCAGUAAUACAC